UGCGUAACUCUCUUCAACGCUAAUUAGGUUAGUAGAUAGUCUAAUUAGUUUUUGUCUUUGUGAUUUGGUGUUAGGAAAUGUCAUUAAUAUGAAAUAAAAUAAAAUUUGUUAAAUUAAGUAGAUAAAAGAUGGUCGAUUAAAUCUCAUUUUAUUUCAUAUGAAAAAAAUAAUUGUUUGUACAUAAGAGUGAAUAAUAAUGUAGAAAAAUUUAUAAGUCUCGAAGUAUUGAGAGGAAUUAAGGAAGCAUAUAACGAACAAAACAGAAUAAUCAAGCAGGCAAAUAAAAACGAAAAAUGCACUAAACAUAUGAAUCAAGGAAGCACAAAAGCUAGCAGUACAGUGCUAGAAAAAAAGGAAUAGAAGAAGCAAAGAUACAAGCAAUGCACUGAACAGAAGAAUCAAAUAAGCAAACAAAAUAGUGUUGACUACUUUAAAAUCUAUAGCAUUCAUAGUUUUUGUAGUUAGUUUUGGUAGAAACAGUGUCUUUAAAUCUUUUUAAUCAAAAUCAUAUAAAACUCAAUAUUGUUAAUCAGAUUAAAAAAUGAUGUUUUCUGCUAAUUGUUGUUUUAUUUAUUUAGAAUCACGACAUAGAUUAAGACAAAACGUCUAAUGACAACAGUUUUUGUUUAUAAAAAUCAAUGGACUAGUGAUUUAGGGCGAGGAGAAGGAGGAGGAGGAGGAGAUGCAAAUGAUGGCUGCCGCCAAAAAAGCACAAACAAUUUACAAUACAGAAGAAGAAUCUAAGAAGCAAAGAAACACUAAGCAGAGGAAUCAAACAAACAAGUUGGGCAAAAACAAAAGACCAAACAAUACAAAGAAAUCAAGGAAGCACAAAUCAAAGAAGCAAAGAAACAACAAGCAAAUACACAAAGCAGAGGAAUCAAAGAAGCAAAGAAACAACAAGCAAUACACAAAGCAGAGGAAUCAAAGAAGCAGCAAAAGCAAACAAGUUGAGCAAGAAAACAAACAAUGAAUAUAGCAAGUAACAAAGCAAGCAAGCAAAAGAAACAACGAAUCAAAGAAAAAAGUAUGUAAGGGAAACAACGAAUCAAAGAAGCAAGUAAGAAGAAAAAACAUAAAAAAAAAAACUUCAUGGCCUAGAACGUGAGUCUUUUGGCUUUAACCCUCAAGAACUUGAGCAUUAUCUGUUGAUUUUGGCCAGCUAAAACAAACUCGACUAUCCCAAGAUUAGAUCCACCUGCGCAAAACAAUAACUUGGGAGUAAAAUAUCCACAGAGACACGGGUUAGUGCUUAGUGGGAGAAGAUCCAAAAAAAGGUGUAGAACGAG
This 1289-nucleotide long non-coding RNA is filed under the name Capsella grandiflora. Its description in RNAcentral is "long non-coding RNA (CGRA_LNC000295)". The record is from RNAcentral. Lineage: Eukaryota; Viridiplantae; Streptophyta; Magnoliopsida; Brassicales; Brassicaceae.